AACGAACGCUGGCGGCAUGCCUAACACAUGCAAGUCGAACGAGACCUUCGGGUCUAGUGGCGCACGGGUGCGUCACGCGUGGGAACCUGCCCUUAGGUUCGGAAUAACACUCUGAAAGGGGUGCUAACACCGGAUAACGUCUUCUGACAAAAGAUUCAUCGUCUUUGGAUGGGCCCGCGUUGGAUUAGCUAGUGGGUAGGGUAAAAGCCUACCAAGGCGACGAUCCAUAGCUGGUCUGAGAGGAUGAUCAGCCACACUGGGACUGAGACACGGCCCAGACUCCUACGGGAGGGAGCAGUGGGGAAUAUUGGACAAUGGGCGAAAGCCUGAUCCAGCAAUGCCGCGUGAGUGAUGAAGGCCUUAGGGUUGUAAAGCUCUUUUACCCGGGAUGAUAAUGACGGUACCGGGAGAAUAAGCACCGGCUAACUCCGUG
This 433-nucleotide ribosomal RNA is filed under the name uncultured bacterium. Its description in RNAcentral is "partial 16S ribosomal RNA". It matches the Rfam family "Bacterial small subunit ribosomal RNA", at positions 29 to 507 of the family's 1533-position model. The record is from RNAcentral.